CUCCCACACAGCACAGCAGCGAUUUUUAUAGUAAAAGCAAGUCAAGGUGAUGUAUUUGUGUUUUACGGAGCUGGGCCUUGGGUGCAGUUAGCUGAACUCCUGGGCUGUGGUAUACAGUUGGCAGACAUUUCUAACUGUGGGCCUCUGGGAACUAAUUGUGGAGAGAUACCAUCUAGUUUCUAUGCCAGUAAUUCAUUGAAUCUUUUCAGAGCUUCAGCUUUCCAUAGAAGCACUGAAUGUUUCAAGAAAAAGGUAUACUUCAGGAAGCACAAGAGAAAGUAAAAAAUGAAUCCAAGUAUAUACAAGGGCUGCUCUGAAGGUACAGUGCAGUCCAGUCUAUCAUACUUCAGGCUCUUACCUGCAGAUGAGUGCAAUAAGUAGUGACUUUUCUAUCACCA
RNAcentral lists this long non-coding RNA (398 nucleotides) under Coturnix japonica (Japanese quail). Its description in RNAcentral is "lncRNA (ENSCJPG00005008789.1)". Lineage: Eukaryota; Metazoa; Chordata; Aves; Galliformes; Phasianidae. The record is from RNAcentral.